GUUAGUUCUUAGUCCAUUUGUACAUUUCUGAAUCAACUCUAAGGCAGAAAAGCUUGCCUAGAAUUUGUAGGGCAUAGCCAGUUUUGGUACUGCUAUUUGUUACAUAAAUGAAAAUCACUAGUUAAUUAGUACUUUUUUUUGGUAAUAGAGUGUUAAAAUGUCAUGCACUUGACCAGUUGUUAUUUCUCUCUUCUACAGUUGCAAGAUUAUAGAAGUCAUUUUAUACGUGAAUAUAUCUCUAGAAGUAUAUUAUAUAACAUGAAUGUCCACUAAAACAUUUUAAUGAAUAUUUUGGUGAUCAGAAUAGUGAAGUGGUAUAUUCUGGGUGUUUAUAUCUAGUUUCAUACCUUCUCCAGACUCUCUUCAAGGAAGCCUGUUCUUUUCAGAAGCAUCGUUUGCAUGGACUCUUUAAUAGAUGAGAAUGAUGAUUUUUUUUUUAAUAUGGUACUAGGCAGAGCCACAAGCACCAGUCAGUUCUAAAGAGCCAACUGAAACACAAAGUUAUAAUUGCUAGCUUGUGUGAAGACAUGCUUUUCUCCUUCCAUUCUUGUUUACAGUUACCUGAACCAAUGUCACUUUCAGAUGCGCAGGUAAAAUAUCAUGCUAAACAGCUAUUACUUCCUUUGGCAGUUACUAAAUCUCAUUUAGACAGAUGGGUCACUUUACUUAAGGCGGUGUUAAUUCCUUCUUUCCUUUUCUUCCUCUCACUCUUUCCCUUCCUUCUCUCCUUCCUUUUUUCUUCCCUCCCUCCACUGAUAUGGAAAAGUUUUAGAUAACUUAAUAGAUUGAAUAUUAUGG
This 798-nucleotide long non-coding RNA is filed under the name Heterocephalus glaber (naked mole-rat). RNAcentral describes it as "lncRNA (ENSHGLG00000049104.1)". Lineage: Eukaryota; Metazoa; Chordata; Mammalia; Rodentia; Bathyergidae. The record is from RNAcentral.